GAUGAACGCUGGCGGCGUGCCUAAUACAUGCAAGUCGAGCGAACAGAUGAGGAGCUUGCUCCUCUGCCGUUAGCGGCGGACGGGUGAGUAACACGUGGAUAACCUACCUAUAAGACUGGGAUAACUUCGGGAAACCGGAGCUAAUACCGGAUAAUAUAUUGAACCGCAUGGUUCAAUAGUUAAAGACGGUUUUGCUGUCACUUAUAGAUGGAUCCGCGCCGCAUUAGCUAGUUGGUAAGGUAACGGCUUACCAAGGCAACGAUGCGUAGCCGACCUGAGAGGGUGAUCGGCCACACUGGAACUGAGACACGGUCCAGACUCCUACGGGAGGCAGCAGUAGGGAAUCUUCCGCAAUGGGCGAAAGCCUGACGGAGCAACGCCGCGUGAGUGAUGAAGGUCUUCGGAUCGUAAAACUCUGUUAUUAGGGAAGAACAAAUGUGUAAGUAACUAUGCACGUCUUGACGGUACCUAAUCAGAAAGCCACGGCUAACUACGUG
This 497-nucleotide ribosomal RNA is filed under the name uncultured bacterium. RNAcentral's name for it is "partial 16S ribosomal RNA". It matches the Rfam family "Bacterial small subunit ribosomal RNA", at positions 28 to 507 of the family's 1533-position model. The record is from RNAcentral.